CGGGUAACGGGGUGUUAGGGCACGACACCGGAGAGGGAGCCUGAGAAACGGCUACCACAUCCAAGGAUGGCAGCAGGCGCGCAAAUUACCCAAUCCCGACACGGGGAGGUAGUGACAAUAAAUAACAAUACGGGGCUCUUUAGGGUCUCGUAAUUGGAAUGAGUACAAUUUAAAUCUCUUAACGAGGAACAAUUGGAGGGCAAGUCUGGUGCCAGCAGCCGCGGUAAUUCCAGCUCCAAUAGCGUAUAUUAAAGUUGUUGCAGUUAAAAAGCUCGUAGUUGAAUUUCGGGGUCAGCAGGUUGGUCGUGCCAUUGGUAUGCACUGGUUUCGCUGAUUCCUCCUUUCUGAAGAACUGUAAUGUCACUAAUUUGGUGUUGCAGGGAAACAGGACUGUUACUUUGAAAAAAUUAGAGUGUUUAAAGCAGGCUAACGCUUGAAUACAUUAGCAUGGAAUAAUGAAAUAGGACGUUUGAUCCUAUUUUGUUGGUUUCUAGGAUUGACGUAAUGAUUAAUAGGGAUAGUUGGGGGCAUUAGUAUUCAAUUGUCAGAGGUGAAAUUCUUGGAUUUAUUGAAGACUAACUACUGCGAAAGCAUUUGCCAAGGAUGUUUUCAUUAAU
RNAcentral lists this ribosomal RNA (617 nucleotides) under uncultured Glomus. RNAcentral describes it as "SSU rRNA". It matches the Rfam family "Eukaryotic small subunit ribosomal RNA", at positions 356 to 977 of the family's 1831-position model. The record is from RNAcentral. Lineage: Eukaryota; Fungi; Glomeromycota; Glomeromycetes; Glomerales; Glomeraceae.